This 425-nucleotide ribosomal RNA is filed under the name uncultured bacterium. RNAcentral's name for it is "partial 16S ribosomal RNA". It matches the Rfam family "Bacterial small subunit ribosomal RNA", at positions 359 to 776 of the family's 1533-position model. The record is from RNAcentral.
GAAUAUUGGACAAUGGGCGAAAGCCUGGUCCAGCCAUGCCGCGUGUGUGAAGAAGGUCUUCGGAUUGUAAAGCACUUUAAGUUGGGAGGAAGGGCAGUAAGCGAAUACCUUGCUGUUUUGACGUUACAGACAGAAUCAGCACCGGCUAACGCUGUGCCAGCAGCCGCGGUAAUACAGAGGGUGCAAUCGUUAAUCGGGAUUACUGGGCGUAAAGCGAACGUAGGUGGUUCGUUAAGUAGGAUGUUAAAUCCCCGGGCUCAACCUGGGAACUGCAUCCAAAACUGGCGAGCUAGAGUAGGGCAGAGGGUGGUGGAAUUUCCUGUGUAGCGGUGAAAUGCGUAGAUAUAGGAAGGAACACCAGUGGCGAAGGCGACCACCUGGGCUCAUACUGACACUGAGGUGCGAAAGCGUGGGGAGCAAACAGG